Molecule: ribosomal RNA, 398 nt
Filed under: uncultured bacterium
Lineage: Bacteria
Description: partial 16S ribosomal RNA
Rfam family: Bacterial small subunit ribosomal RNA
Source: RNAcentral
AUACGUAGGGUGCGAGCGUUGUCCGGAAUUACUGGGCGUAAAGAGCUCGUAGGUGGUUUGUCGCGCCGUCUGUGAAAUUCCGGGGCUUAACUCCGGGCGUGCAGGCGAUACGGGCAUAACUUGAGUACUGUAGGGGAGACUGGAAUUCCUGGUGUAGCGGUGAAAUGCGCAGAUAUCAGGAGGAACACCGGUGGCGAAGGGGGGUCUCUGGGCAGUAACUGACGCUGAGGAGCGAAAGCAUGGGUAGCGAACAGGAUUAGAUACCCUGGUAGUCCAUGCCGUAAACGGUGGGCGCUAGGUGUAGGGGUCUUCCACGACUUCUGUGCCGUAGCUAACGCAUUAAGCGCCCCGCCUGGGGAGUACGGCCGCAAGGCUAAAACUCAAAUGAAUUGACGGGG